Caenorhabditis elegans is the source of this 110-nucleotide non-coding RNA. NCBI's taxonomy places the organism in Eukaryota, Metazoa, Nematoda, Chromadorea, Rhabditida, Rhabditidae. The record is from Ensembl.
CAUAUUAUAGAAUUACAGCUAAUAAAGCCGUCCGUGUGAACCUGUGCUCGUAAUUUAAUGAAGCGUAUGCCUAUGAAGGUGUCUAUGCACUUGUUCAAAUAUAUCAAAUU